Long non-coding RNA from Micropterus salmoides (largemouth bass), 644 nucleotides. RefSeq lists it as uncharacterized. The record is from RefSeq and is a predicted model, not a curated record. The transcript is spliced from 3 exons. Lineage: Eukaryota; Metazoa; Chordata; Actinopteri; Centrarchiformes; Centrarchidae.
UUCAUCCUGAGAGAUGCAGAAAAGGACACAGACAGAAGCAAGUAGCUUAUAUUUUCUGAGAGAUUUCACAACAAAAUAUAAUUAACAAUAAAAAAGCAACUGAAAUGAAACACUGUCAACUGCAAAGAAAAUGAGAGGCAAAAGUUUUGCUCCAUUUCAUCUUGAAGGCCAAGCAGACGCGCGUGCGCACGGACGGCGUAAAAAUGCCCCGCGCGAAUGCGACUUGGCCGAAAAUGUUUUCUGCUCAAACAAUAGUUGGAACAUAAAGUUUAAAGGCAAAAAACAAUAUUUUUGGAGACGGAUACCAGCAACCCUUUCCGUUAAAACAUGCCAGUGGCGUUAAAGGUUGUGGGAAAGCUGGUUAUAACAACACGAAGAUAAAGGAGGAGAAAACCUUUCCAGUUUUGGACUUUCAGCCCUGGUCAACAUCUUCACAGAACCGGAGCUUGCCAGCUAAAGACCCAGAAGGAGAGCUACAAACAGUCAGUGGAGGUGAUGCAGAGAAACAGGGUGAUGAUGAUCCCAGUCAUGAUGAUGAGGAGGGAGAGAAGGAACAGGAGGAGCAGCAGGAGGAGGAUGAGGAGGUCAAUGGAACCAGAAACAACAGUGAAAGGUACAGGAGCAGUUUUCAGUGCUGGGUAGGU